RNAcentral lists this unclassified non-coding RNA (504 nucleotides) under Hevea brasiliensis (rubber tree). Lineage: Eukaryota; Viridiplantae; Streptophyta; Magnoliopsida; Malpighiales; Euphorbiaceae. The record is from RNAcentral.
CCAGUUCAUCCAAACGAGUUCCCCAAUCUUCUCUUAUGCUCAAUGGUCGAACAAUUUUGCUACCGUAAUCCGCCAUAGCUUCAUCCUCUGCUGCUUGUUCACUCACUUUUCUACUACUACUUAACGAUGAACUAUCUCUUCCAUGUCUCUUCUUCUUCAUUUUCCGUGCCGUUGCUUUUUCCAGUGCCUGCAAUACGUCAAAUCCAGUAAGUUUCUUCUCUUCAUCCUUUAAAUCUACUUGUACUCGUUCUUCUUCUGCUUGUUGUAUGUUCGUUGUUUGUGAUUUCUUCCAAAAUCUCUGCUUCUGCUCUGCCGUAUAACCUAAAUGAUUUGUUUGCGAUUUCUUCUGAAUUUUCUGCUUUUGCUCCGCCGUAUAUGCUAAAUCGAGGUUUCUAAGCUGCGAGUAGAGCUGAAACUUCCUCGGAGCUCCGGGCGUAAGACAAUUCGCCGCCGGUUUAGUGGUGGCGAAUGGUGCCGGAGCGGCAAGUGAAAGGCUCAUCGAGG